GUGCAUGACACAAAAUGAACAGUAAAGUAAAUGACCAAACUGAUAUAUUAGAAUAACAUAAUGGAAUGUGUUUCAGUAAAAAGAACCAGCAACAAGGUUUGUUUAAGCUUUUGCAAAGUCAUAAACAGAAUUCUCCAGUAGAUAACAAUUUGACAAAAAAAAGAAUGAGGUUGGACAUAAUGUGUUAUAGUGACAGCUAGGAAAUUAGCGAAGAUACAAUAAACAAGAGGAAGAAAUAGGUGGAAAAACUCCACGGAACAGAAGAGCUCUGAAGAUGAGUCUAAAGGUCAGAGCAUGGUGGUGCAUGCCUAUAAUCCCAGCAGCCUAGGAGGCUGAGCAGGAGGACCAGAAGUUAAAAUCAGCCUCAGCAACUGAGGCCCUAAGCAACAUAGCAAGAACCUG
Molecule: long non-coding RNA, 402 nt
Filed under: Marmota monax (woodchuck)
Lineage: Eukaryota; Metazoa; Chordata; Mammalia; Rodentia; Sciuridae
Source: RNAcentral